Long non-coding RNA from Phycodurus eques (leafy seadragon), 828 nucleotides. RefSeq lists it as uncharacterized. NCBI's taxonomy places the organism in Eukaryota, Metazoa, Chordata, Actinopteri, Syngnathiformes, Syngnathidae. The record is from RefSeq and is a predicted model, not a curated record. The transcript has 3 exons.
GUUAUUAUUUAUUUAUGGUGCGGCUGAUGCCUCGGCUAAAAAAGGUAGCAGGCUAUCAAAUGGAUGCUGAAGGUAACUAUGUUGUUAAACGGGAUCAGUUGAUUGACUUUCUCGCUGCAGUAACGGUUGAUGUAUUGCGCAACCGCCAAGAGGCGGCACCAGAGGAAGACAAACGUGAGUGGCAAAAGAAAGAUGCUGAAUAUGAUGACAUGGAGAAGCUGUGGUUUGGCCUGACGAGAGGCCCUAGAAGACUGGUGUUACCUAUAGGAAGGUUCAUGUGGUUAGUGGUUGAGGAAGCACACGCCCCGACACAUGAGAAUUAUGUGUCAAUGCUGUACAAGUUGCGCUUUUGGCGGCACCCUGAACUUCUGCAUAAGGGGCAGCAGCUGAUAUCGGCCGUGGGGGUCCUUCCCCUCAAAGGUCUUGAGAACAAUCCUGAGGACAAGACUCCUGAGAAAAGGAAUAAUACAACACCCACACAAAGCAAGCACAGCAAUGACAACCAAGGAUGGUAGUCGCCCAAGUGAGCACGAGACCUUUCCAGUUACCAAACAUCCUAUUCAGCAGGCUAUGGAAUGAGUAGUCAUCUACUCCAGACAUUGAUUUAAGACAUGGCCUGCAAACCUUUCAUGGCUCUGGUGAUCUUUCUGCUUGGUGCCGUAUUAUUGGGGAUAAUCGUGCAACAGUGACCCUUGAUUGGAGAGCAGGAGCACUUUCAGUAAGUCAGCCUGGUCAGUGAGGAGCGCUGGUGAGUGGAAGGAGGUUAAACUGCUUACAACAUACAAGGCCUUCACAAAAAAACUGAAAACGUGGCUAGUUAACACCUAU